ACAUGCAAGUCGAGCGAUGAAACCCUUCGGGGUGGAUUAGCGGCGGACGGGUGAGUAACACGUGGGUAACCUGCCUCAAAGAGGGGAAUAGCCUCCCGAAAGGGAGAUUAAUACCGCAUAAUAUGUUUUGAUCGCAUGAUCGAGACAUCAAAGGAUGUUCUUCGGAACUUCCACUUUGAGAUGGACCCGCGGCGCAUUAGCUAGUUGGAGAGGUAACGGCUCACCAAGGCAACGAUGCGUAGCCGACCUGAGAGGGUGAUCGGCCACAUUGGAACUGAGACACGGUCCAGACUCCUACGGGAGGCAGCGGUGGGGAAUAUUGCGCAAUGGGGGAAACCCUGACGCAGCAACGCCGCGUGAAUGAUGAAGGCCUUCGGGUUGUAAAGUUCUGUCUUCUGGGACGAUAAUGACGGUACCAGAGGAGGAAGCCACGGCUAACUACGUGCCAGCAGCCGCGGUAAUACGUAGGUGGCAAGCGUUGUCCGGAUUUACUGGGCGUAAAGGAUGCGUAGGCGGACAUUUAAGUCAGAUGUGAAAUACCCGAGCUUAACUUGGGUGCUGCAUUUGAAACUGGGUGUCUAGAGUGCAGGAGAGGUAAGUGGAAUUCCUAGUGUAGCGGUGAAAUGCGUAGAGA
RNAcentral lists this ribosomal RNA (634 nucleotides) under metal-contaminated soil clone K20-13. Its description in RNAcentral is "bacterial SSU rRNA". It matches the Rfam family "Bacterial small subunit ribosomal RNA", at positions 53 to 696 of the family's 1533-position model. The record is from RNAcentral. Lineage: Bacteria; Bacillati; Bacillota.